RNAcentral lists this ribosomal RNA (460 nucleotides) under uncultured bacterium. RNAcentral's name for it is "partial 16S ribosomal RNA". It matches the Rfam family "Bacterial small subunit ribosomal RNA", at positions 338 to 795 of the family's 1533-position model. The record is from RNAcentral.
CCUACGGGUGGCAGCAGUGAGGAAUAUUGGUCAAUGGACGAGAGUCUGAACCAGCCAAGUAGCGUGAAGGAUGACUGCCCUAUGGGUUGUAAACUUCUUUUAUAUGGGAAUAAAAUGUUCCACGUGUGGGAUUUUGUAUGUACCAUAUGAAUAAGGAUCGGCUAACUCCGUGCCAGCAGCCGCGGUAAUACGGAGGAUCCGAGCGUUAUCCGGAUUUAUUGGGUUUAAGGGGAGCGUAGGUGGAUUGUUAAGUCAGUUGUGAAAGUUUGCGGCUCAACCGUAAAAUUGUAGUUGAAACUGGCAGUCUUGAGUACAGUAGAGGUGGGCGGAAUUCGUGGGGUAGCGGUGAAAUGCUUAGAUAUCACGAAGAACUCCGAUUGCGAAGGCAGUUCACUGGACUGCAACUGACACUGAGGCUCGAAAGUGUGGGUAUCAAACAGGAUUAGAUACCCGAGUAGUC